CCUCGGAAUGAAAAAUUUGGUGACUGAGUGGCGGACGGGUGAGUAACGCGUGGGUAACCUGCCUCAUACAGGGGGAUAACAGUUAGAAAUGACUGCUAAUACCGCAUAAGACCACAGCACCGCAUGGUGCAGGGGUAAAAACUCCGGUGGUAUGAGAUGGACCCGCGUCUGAUUAGGUAGUUGGUGGGGUAACGGCCUACCAAGCCGACGAUCAGUAGCCGACCUGAGAGGGUGACCGGCCACAUUGGGACUGAGACACGGCCCAAACUCCUACGGGAGGCAGCAGUGGGGAAUAUUGCACAAUGGGGGAAACCCUGAUGCAGCGACGCCGCGUGAGCGAUGAAGUAUUUCGGUAUGUAAAGCUCUAUCAGCAGGGAAGAAAAUGACGGUACCUGACUAAGAAGCACCGGCUAAAUACGUGCCAGCAGCCGCGGUAAUACGUAUGGUGCAAGCGUUAUCCGGAUUUACUGGGUGUAAAGGGAGCGUAGACGGAGUGGCAAGUCUGAUGUGAAAACCCGGGGCUCAACCCCGGGACUGCAUUGGAAACUGUCAAUCUAGAGUACCGGAGAGGUAAGCGGAAUUCCUAGUGUAGCGGUGAAAUGCGUAGAUAUUAGGAGGAACACCAGUGGCAAAGGCGGCUUACUGGACGGUAACUGACGUUGAGGCUCGAAAGCGUGGGGAGCAAACAGGAUUAGAUACCCUGGUAGUCCACGCCGUAAACGAUGACUACUAGGUGUCGGGCAGCAAAGCUGUUCGGUGCCGCAGCAAACGCAAUAAGUAGUCCACCUGGGGAGUACGUUCGCAAGAAUGAAACUCAAAGGAAUUGACGG
Molecule: ribosomal RNA, 830 nt
Filed under: uncultured bacterium
Lineage: Bacteria
Description: bacterial SSU rRNA
Rfam family: Bacterial small subunit ribosomal RNA
Source: RNAcentral